UACGUAGGGGGCAAGCGUUGUCCGGAUUUAUUGGGCGUAAAGAGCGUGUAGGCGGCCUGACAGGUCUGCUGUGAAAACUCGAGGCUCAACCUCGAGAUGUCGGCGGAAACCGUCUGGCUAGAGUCCGGAAGAGGAGAAUGGAAUUCCCGGUGUAGCGGUGAAAUGCGUAGAGAUGGGGGAGAACACGCGUGGCGAAGGCGGCCAGCUAGACCAGUUCUGACACUGAGGCGCGACAGCGUGGGGAGCAAACAGG
RNAcentral lists this ribosomal RNA (253 nucleotides) under uncultured bacterium. RNAcentral describes it as "partial 16S ribosomal RNA". It matches the Rfam family "Bacterial small subunit ribosomal RNA", at positions 524 to 776 of the family's 1533-position model. The record is from RNAcentral.